RNAcentral lists this ribosomal RNA (466 nucleotides) under uncultured bacterium. Its description in RNAcentral is "partial 16S ribosomal RNA". It matches the Rfam family "Bacterial small subunit ribosomal RNA", at positions 28 to 505 of the family's 1533-position model. The record is from RNAcentral.
GACGAACGCUGGCGGCGUGCUUAACACAUGCAAGUCGAACGGAAAGGCCCUGCUUUUGUGGGGUUCUCGAGUGGCGAACGGGUGAGUAACACGUGAGUAACCUGCCCUCGACUUUGGGAUAACUUCAGGAAACUGGGGCUAAUACCGGAUAGGAGCUCCUGCUGCAUGGUGGGGGUUGGAAAGUUUCGGCGGUUGGGGAUGGACUCGCGGCUUAUCAGCUUGUUGGUGUGGUAGUGGCUUACCAAGGCUUUGACGGGUAGCCGGCCUGAGAGGGUGGCCGGCCACAUUGGGACUGAGAUACGGCCCAGACUCAUACGGGAGGAAGCAGUGGGGAAUAUUGCACAAUGGGCGGAAGCCUGAUGCAGCACCGCCGCGUGCGGGAUGACGGCCUUCGGGUUGUAAACCGCUUUCGCCUGUGACGAAGCGUGAGUGACGGUAAUGGGUAAAGAAGAACCGGCUAACUACG